Long non-coding RNA from Cryptotermes secundus, 1637 nucleotides. RefSeq lists it as uncharacterized. The record is from RefSeq and is a predicted model, not a curated record. NCBI's taxonomy places the organism in Eukaryota, Metazoa, Arthropoda, Insecta, Blattodea, Kalotermitidae. The transcript is spliced from 3 exons.
UACAGGCUGAUGAGGGUGCACACGCGCAGUUCCAUUAACCAAAAUAUCUAGUGGUAGUAGUAAGAAAUACGAUCCAAGAAUGUGGAAUAGGUGUCGUUUUCUAUUAGAAUUUCAAGGAUUGUCGUAUCGAAUGCUGAAGUGGUAUUGAAGGGAAAGUACGCUAUUGAUUCCUCCCAGAACUUCAUGUUAACCUCUCAAAUUUAAACAGACUUCAAGAUAUCAAAGCCGCAUUACAAACAGCAAGAUUAUAAUAGCUACUCUGAAGAGAACAACUGUAGGGAAGAACGGUCCUUACUAUUGAAAACGGUUGCAUCUUUCGUCAUGAAACAUGCCUCUAGACAACACAGAGAAGGACACCUUGACAUCUUCCGCGUGAAGAAGAAUAUCUUGCUGUUCAUUGCAAAGGGAAAGAUGGUGGAAAUAUUUCGUUGGGAAAAUGAAAUGCCUGUUACAGAUUUCCUUCAAGUUUUAAUGACAAUACAAUUAAAGUGUAACAAAGUUAUCGAGUUCAUACCAUUUACAAAAUAUUACUCUGAUUACAAAUUCACUUUCAAUGGCUGACAUUUUAUAUGCAAAAGAUGAAACUCGAAUGAUUUCAAAUCCAUAUUUUCUUGCCUUUAUUCAGCACUGAGCAAAACAUAGUGCAUACUACGCUUUGAAAUACACAUACACUUUUAUCUUUCAGUCUUCUUACAAAAUGAUGUCUGUUUGACACAUGUAUUUGGUUUUAAGCACAGUUACACAGUUAUCUGCUGUGAAUCAAUUCAAAUGAUAAUUCUCAGGAAAAUUACAAUUUUAAUAUGCCUGUGCCGUGCCAACGUUUCUGGAGUUCUUCUCAUAUGGAAUAUUUUUUAAAUAGGGAAUCGUGUAAUAGUUUACUGCAACGUAAAAUUAAGCACUGAGAAGUUCAGACGGUCUAGCAGCUUUGAAUGAAACAUAGCGUUCAUAAUGAGAAUUUAUAAAUGAUUUAAUGUGCCAGUAUAUGUAGGAUGUACCAUUUCAGAUGCAACACAAACAGUAGCAUAUACAAGUAAAAGCUUGAACUUGACAUCAGCAUAACAAGACAAAUGAGUUAUUUCUCGGUUUUUGUUUUCUAUCGGCCUAUUGUCUCUACAACUUCGUGGAGUGUGUGUAUAUAUAUGAAUUAUGUCACUGUCAACACAGCAAAUAGUCAGUUAUUAUUUUCAAUAUUUAUACUGCUACAUGUUUCGGUCGCAUAAGACCAUAAUCAGGCAGUGGAGUAUACCACCUGCCGGACCUGUUCCCAGUGGUAAACGUUUGUCAUGUCCCAUUGUAUAGUUUCUUCUAAGAGUACCAGUUUACAAUGUUUCCUACAUGGUUUUCAAUGUACAUUAUGCGGAAACUAAAAAUUAAACUUCUUCACGGAGGCAGAAUACGUUACUGAAAGUUAUUCCUGUUACUGAGAUCCGCUCCAUGGGGAUGUAGCCUUUAGAUUCAAAAUUUAAUGACUAUUAGAAAAGCGGGAAGCCGUGCUCAUUAUUUGGAAUAACUUUGUUAACUUACGAACAAACGCGUAUCCAAAAUAUACACAACUGGACUGAAGGGAACUGAAUUUUGUUUUCCUGCAAAUUAAAUCACUCCGUCCAAUGUGACCUGUAAGUUUUUUACUACAUGAA